CGACGUAGGUAACCUGCCUUGUAGCGGGGGAUAACUAUUGGAAACGAUAGCUAAUACCGCAUAACAAUGGAUGACACAUGUCAUUUAUUUGAAAGGGGCAAUUGCUCCACUACAAGAUGGACCUGCGUUGUAUUAGCUAGUAGGUGAGGUAACGGCUCACCUAGGCGACGAUAUAUAGCCGACCUGAGAGGGUGAUCGGCCACACUGGGACUGAGACACGGCCCAG
Molecule: ribosomal RNA, 226 nt
Filed under: uncultured bacterium
Lineage: Bacteria
Description: partial 16S ribosomal RNA
Rfam family: Bacterial small subunit ribosomal RNA
Source: RNAcentral